GAACGCUAGCGGCAGGCCUAAUACAUGCAAGACUAGGGGGCAGCAAUGUCACCGUCGCACGGGUGCGUAACGCGUAUGCAACCUACCUAUCACAGGGGGAUAGCCUUUGGAAACAGGGAUUAAUACCGCAUAAAGCAGGGGCUCCGCAUGGAGAUAUUGCUAAAGAUUUAUCGGUGAUAGAUGGGCAUGCGUCUGAUUAGUUAGAUGGUGGGGUAACGGCCUACCAUGGCGAUGAUCAGUAGGGGGCGUCAGAGCGUGGUCCCCCACACUGGCACUGAGAUACGGGCCAGACUCCUACGGGAGGCAGCAGUAGGGAAUAUUGGGCAAUGGAUGCAAGUCUGACCCAGCCAUGCCGCGUGCAGGAUGACGGUCCUAUGGAUUGUAAACUGCUUUUGUACAGGAAGAAACACUCCCUCGUGAGGGAGCUUGACGGUACUGUAAGAAUAAGGAUCGGCUAACUCCGUG
Molecule: ribosomal RNA, 465 nt
Filed under: uncultured bacterium
Lineage: Bacteria
Description: bacterial SSU rRNA
Rfam family: Bacterial small subunit ribosomal RNA
Source: RNAcentral